Molecule: ribosomal RNA, 1391 nt
Filed under: Staphylococcus sp.
Lineage: Bacteria; Bacillati; Bacillota; Bacilli; Caryophanales; Staphylococcaceae
Description: bacterial SSU rRNA
Rfam family: Bacterial small subunit ribosomal RNA
Source: RNAcentral
GUCGAGCGAACGGACGAGAAGCUUGCUUCUCUGAUGUUAGCGGCGGACGGGUGAGUAACACGUGGAUAACCUACCUAUAAGACUGGGAUAACUUCGGGAAACCGGAGCUAAUACCGGAUAAUAUUUUGAACCGCAUGGUUCAAAAGUGAAAGACGGUCUUGCUGUCACUUAUAGAUGGAUCCGCGCUGCAUUAGCUAGUUGGUAAGGUAACGGCUUACCAAGGCAACGAUGCAUAGCCGACCUGAGAGGGUGAUCGGCCACACUGGAACUGAGACACGGUCCAGACUCCUACGGGAGGCAGCAGUAGGGAAUCUUCCGCAAUGGGCGAAAGCCUGACGGAGCAACGCCGCGUGAGUGAUGAAGGUCUUCGGAUCGUAAAACUCUGUUAUUAGGGAAGAACAUAUGUGUAAGUAACUGUGCACAUCUUGACGGUACCUAAUCAGAAAGCCACGGCUAACUACGUGCCAGCAGCCGCGGUAAUACGUAGGUGGCAAGCGUUAUCCGGAAUUAUUGGGCGUAAAGCGCGCGUAGGCGGUUUUUUAAGUCUGAUGUGAAAGCCCACGGCUCAACCGUGGAGGGUCAUUGGAAACUGGAAAACUUGAGUGCAGAAGAGGAAAGUGGAAUUCCAUGUGUAGCGGUGAAAUGCGCAGAGAUAUGGAGGAACACCAGUGGCGAAGGCGACUUUCUGGUCUGUAACUGACGCUGAUGUGCGAAAGCGUGGGGAUCAAACAGGAUUAGAUACCCUGGUAGUCCACGCCGUAAACGAUGAGUGCUAAGUGUUAGGGGGUUUCCGCCCCUUAGUGCUGCAGCUAACGCAUUAAGCACUCCGCCUGGGGAGUACGACCGCAAGGUUGAAACUCAAAGGAAUUGACGGGGACCCGCACAAGCGGUGGAGCAUGUGGUUUAAUUCGAAGCAACGCGAAGAACCUUACCAAAUCUUGACAUCCUUUGACAACUCUAGAGAUAGAGCCUUCCCCUUCGGGGGACAAAGUGACAGGUGGUGCAUGGUUGUCGUCAGCUCGUGUCGUGAGAUGUUGGGUUAAGUCCCGCAACGAGCGCAACCCUUAAGCUUAGUUGCCAUCAUUAAGUUGGGCACUCUAAGUUGACUGCCGGUGACAAACCGGAGGAAGGUGGGGAUGACGUCAAAUCAUCAUGCCCCUUAUGAUUUGGGCUACACACGUGCUACAAUGGACAAUACAAAGGGCAGCGAAACCGCGAGGUCAAGCAAAUCCCAUAAAGUUGUUCUCAGUUCGGAUUGUAGUCUGCAACUCGACUACAUGAAGCUGGAAUCGCUAGUAAUCGUAGAUCAGCAUGCUACGGUGAAUACGUUCCCGGGUCUUGUACACACCGCCCGUCACACCACGAGAGUUUGUAACACCCGAAGCCGGUGG